Molecule: long non-coding RNA, 145 nt
Organism: Gavialis gangeticus (Gharial)
Lineage: Eukaryota; Metazoa; Chordata; Crocodylia; Gavialidae
Exons: 3
Source: RefSeq, a predicted model, not a curated record
CAAAGGCUCCCCCUCCCCAACCGUGAACGAUCGCCCCCAAAUCUCAGCUUCUCUCCUGGCAUUUCUGCUACCGCCGCGACGGAGGGGCCCUGGCACUUUGAUGAACAGUCCCGGGGAAGGAUUCAAGGCAGAGCUGCUGCUUUCG